GACGAACGCUGGCGGCGUGCUUAACACAUGCAAGUCGAACGGAAAGGCCCUGCUUUUGUGGGGUGCUCGAGUGGCGAACGGGUGAGUAGCACGUGAGUAACCUGCCCUUGACUUUGGGAUAACUUCAGGAAACUGGGGCUAAUACCGGAUAGGAGCUCCUGCUGCAUGGUGGGGGUUGGAAAGUUUCGGCGGUUGGGGAUGGACUCGCGGCUUAUCAGCUUGUUGGUGGGGUAGUGGCUUACCAAGGCUUUGACGGGUAGCCGGCCUGAGAGGGUGACCGGCCACAUUGGGACUGAGAUACGGUCCAGACUCCUACGGGAGGCAGCAGUGGGGAAUAUUGCACAAUGGGCGGAAGCCUGAUGCAGCAACGCCGCGUGCGGGAUGACGGCCUUCGGGUUGUAAACCGCUUUCGCCUGUGACGAAGCGUGAGUGACGGUAAUGGGUAAAGAAGCACCGGCUAACUACGUG
RNAcentral lists this ribosomal RNA (468 nucleotides) under uncultured bacterium. RNAcentral describes it as "partial 16S ribosomal RNA". It matches the Rfam family "Bacterial small subunit ribosomal RNA", at positions 28 to 507 of the family's 1533-position model. The record is from RNAcentral.